This 420-nucleotide long non-coding RNA is filed under the name Homo sapiens (human). RNAcentral's name for it is "non-protein coding lnc-CHD2-2:6". Lineage: Eukaryota; Metazoa; Chordata; Mammalia; Primates; Hominidae. The record is from RNAcentral.
ACCCUCCCGCAUCAGCACCGGCUGGGUGGGUGCGGAGUGCGCCAGCGGCCAAGUCAAGACUCCUUGAAUGCUCAGGUUAGGGGGCGCGGGCGGCAAGUGCGGCGACUCCCCGGGGCGCCUCCAACUUUCCGAAUCGCCCGCAGGGUUGCGGUGGAGCGCACGGUGUCCUUCAGUUAGGCGGUGGUCGAGGGGAGUUCCUCUGAGAUUUCUGGAGAAGGCGGUUACAUCCAAGACAAAUGCUGUUGCGCUCUGCGGAGACGCACCUUUGUUCUAUAGAGAUUUUGUUGUUGUUUAAGAAUCUUCCUGAAAAAACUAAUACAUAUGUAUUACAUGCUAACACACGCAUACAUUCUUGCGUAGAAUUGUACAUAACUCAGGAGUGUCUAGAGUGAAAAGACCGUAUCGCACUCCCUCCCACGG